AUAAAGGAUGCAAGCUAUGUGGUAUGGGUCGGCGUACGUGUCGCUCUAGUGCCCGCAGGGAAGCUAGUAAGCCUGCCCGCUUAGUGAGUAUCGGCUAGCAAUGACUGAUAACUUAAAGGAAUUGGCGGGGGAGCACACACAAGGGGGUGAAGCGUGCUGUUUAAUGUGAGUCAACGCCGGAUAUCUCACCGGGGGAGACAGCAGAAUGAAAGCCAGAUUAAAGGUCUUGCCAGACGAGGUGAGAGGAGGUGCAUGUCCGUCAGUCAGUUCGUGUGAGUGAGGUGUCCAGUUCAGUCAGGCAACGAUCGAGACCUGUAUCCUCCGUUGCUACCAGUUUUGAAAUGGGCACUCUGAGGAGACCGCCGUCGAUAAGGCGGAGGAAGGAGCGGGCCACGGCAGGUCAGUAUGCCCCGAAUCUCCCGGGCCACACGCGAGCUGCAAUGGCAGGUACAAUGGGUUCCGACCUUGAAAAGGGAAGGCAAUCCCGAAAGCCUGCCGUAGUUGGGAUCGAGGGUUGUAACCCACCCUCGUGAACAUGGAAUCCCUAGUAAUCGCGCGUCAUUAGCGCGCGGUGAAUACGUCCCUGCUCCUUGCACACACCGA
Molecule: ribosomal RNA, 603 nt
Filed under: Staphylothermus hellenicus
Lineage: Archaea; Thermoproteati; Thermoproteota; Thermoprotei; Desulfurococcales; Desulfurococcaceae
Description: bacterial SSU rRNA
Rfam family: Archaeal small subunit ribosomal RNA
Source: RNAcentral